This 398-nucleotide ribosomal RNA is filed under the name uncultured bacterium. RNAcentral's name for it is "bacterial SSU rRNA". It matches the Rfam family "Bacterial small subunit ribosomal RNA", at positions 362 to 775 of the family's 1533-position model. The record is from RNAcentral.
UAUUGGACAAUGGGGGGAACCCUGAUCCAGCGACGCCGCGUGAGUGAAGAAGUAUCUCGGUAUGUAAAGCUCUAUCAGCAGGGAAGAAGAGAUGGCGGUACCUGAGUAAGAAGCCCCGGCUAACUACGUGCCAGCAGCCGCGGUAAUACGUAGGGGGCAAGCGUUAUCCGGAAUUACUGGGUGUAAAGGGAGCGUAGACGGUGAUGUAAGGCUGGAGUGAAAGGCGGGGGCCCAACCCCCAGACUGAUUUGGAAACUGUAUGGCUGGAGUGCAGGAGAGGUAAGUGGAAUUCCUAGUGUAGCGGUGAAAUGCGUAGAUAUUAGGAGGAACACCAGUGGCGAAGGCGGCUUACUGGACUGUAACUGACGUUGAGGCUCGAAAGCGUGGGGAGCAAACAG